RNAcentral lists this long non-coding RNA (4506 nucleotides) under Phocoena sinus (vaquita). RNAcentral's name for it is "lncRNA (ENSPSNG00000006465.1)". Lineage: Eukaryota; Metazoa; Chordata; Mammalia; Artiodactyla; Phocoenidae. The record is from RNAcentral.
AUUCCUGCGCAGGUGCACGGCGACGACGCCCGGCUGGGCCGGCGCCUUAGAAGUUGGACCGGCCCCGGCCUGGGUCGGACGGUGGAGGUGAUAGACAUCUGCUCGCCCAGUAACGAUGGCGGUGUUUCACGACGAGGUGGAGAUCGAGGACUUCCAAUAUGACGAGGACUCGGAGACGUACUUCUACCCCUGCCCGUGUGGAGAUAACUUCUGCAUCACCAAGGAAGAUUUGGAGAAUGGGGAAGACGUGGCAACGUGCCCUAGCUGCUCUCUCAUUAUAAAAGUGAUUUAUGACAAAGUAAGGAGUCAGAUUUUAAAAGGUGGGGGAGGGUUGCAGGCACCUAGAAUAGUCUGCCUGUGAUAGGUAGGUGCAGAAUGUUUUCUAAUCUUGUGCUAGGUAAAUGCUAUGUUUUUUAAAACAAAUUUUUAAAACCAUUAAUAAGCAGCUGUAUAGUAAAUUAAAAUUUUAAAAGCUCAACUUGAUUAACUCUUUUAGCUUUGGAGAAGGCAAUAAAGAAAACUGUUCUGUAUCUAGUGAAUAUUAGGAUUACUUAUUAAAUAGAGGAAAAUAAUUAUAAAGAUUAUUUAAUUGACAGUGUUUAUUCCUCCCUUAUUUAAUAAGCAAUUAAAAUUGUUUAGAGCUCUUGGACUUAUUUUGAGGGAACAUUUGUAUAGUAUCUCUUACCUGGCUUAUACAUCGAGCUCUGCAUUAUCUUGUUUGAGAUGUAAGUCAUAGUUGCAAUUUUACAAUUUUCAUUUUAGUCUUUAGUUGUCCUGCUGUUUUCACCCAAGGAUAUUGACAAUAGAAAACAAAAUAAAUGCCCACCCCAACUUUUGGUCAGUACUUUGAAUGGAGUCUUAACUUCAUAAGAAGCUUAACAUUCUUUUCUCUGGGUUUUGGUUUUUGUUUUUGUUGUUGUUGAUAUAAUUGUCAUAUAACAAAGCUUAACAUUCUUAAGGAUGAACUCUAAAAUGAGUAUAGGCAAGGUGGGGGAACAAGGCACAUACCUCAUGACAUAAGCAGGCUAUAAUUUAGACGACACUUAAGAGGUUUACUGAUUUAUUCUUGCAUUUAAAUGUGUUCUGGAACAAAAAGAAAACAGGGUAAGGGUGAGCGGGAGUGCUGGUAUGAGAAGAGAUUGCAAUUUUAAAUCGGGUGAUCACGUACUGUAGGCUGUUUAGUAGCAUCCCUGACCUCUACCCAUUAGAUGCCAGUAGCACCCCGCAGCAUGUCAACCCAGAAUGUCUCCACACAUUGCCAAAUAUCCCCAGAGACAAAAACAACACCUCCUCCCCGCUACUGCUCGAGAACCUUGUGUUAGAGCAGGAAGGCACAGGGCCAUUUUAAAGAAUAUGGAGCAUCGUGUUGGUGGUGGACCAUAAACUCCGAAGAACACAGUGGGAGGGUUCCAGGUGCUGGGCAGGAGUCAGAAAUCAAUAGGGACAGAAUACAGGCUGAUCCUUAUGGGGAUCAGACUGCAGGAGAUGAGGGGUAACCUGGGAGGCAGAGGUUUCUUGGGCUGGCUGGUGUAAGCCAGGCUAAAUCAUCAGAGAUUGAACUUCAUUUACAAAAUAGCUAAUUUGCAGAUUAUCUAUGUUGGGAAACAUAAAGAGCUAUCCCUUUAGUUGAAAAAAGUAAUUACUUUGAAGAGGGCAGGUAUUUGAGUGACCAAAUAUUGAAGUGGAGAAGUAGUAGUGCAAAUAGUAAUUAAUACAGAAACUUAAAAGGUGUGAUGUCUGUUUUAUAAAUGUGAUUUCUGAGAAAUGGGUGCUCUGUAGUGACGAGGGACAUGUUUGUUUAUAAGAGGCAUUAAAUAUGAAUUCAGGACUAAAAACUGAUACAUUUUUAAGAUUAUGAUUCUGCUGCUGGCAUUGACUCAUUGAACAAGAAUGAAGUGAUAGAGCAAAGGAAAAACUUAGAUUAGCAGAGCUGGAUUGAUUCUGUAACAAAAUGAGUUUAUCUUUGAUGCAUCUGUGACACAGACACUCCGUGAUUAAUAUAAUUUCUUGUUCUGUCUUAGGAUCAGUUUAUGUGUGGAGAGACAGUCCCGGCCCCUUCCACCAACAAAGAGCUAGUUAAGUGCUGAAGCAGACUUUAGGAUUCCAAAGCCUGAAUUUUGGGGAAUGAGCCAAAUUGGAAAAAUCAAAUGCAAAGUCACUGGCUUCUUCAUGGGAACAGUCAUUUUGUAGUUUGGUGUUCCAUAGAGUGUGGAUUCUUUCCAUCGGCUGCCAAGUUCAUCUCCAGUUGAAGAAGCAAGUCCACCACAUGACAUACGCGGAUUUUGUGCCAAAACUUUGAAUUGGAUGGGCUCUUAAUUUUCCAUCCGAACUUAAAAGAAGAUAAUUUCAAAUCAGUGCUUUCUUUCACUCAAUUUUGUUAUUUUUAUAUCUUACACAUAAUUACUUCAUUAUCUGACAACAGCUUCAUCUACCUCAAAGUCAUUAGGAUUCUUUAAUUUUAAAAAAGAUUUUACUUUUAGUUGGUUAUUAAGAUUAUUAAAUCAGCCCUUUCUUUGUAGUUUGACAUCAGCUCUGCUGUUCUAAACUGAAGAAAUCAGUUGCCUUCAGUCAGUCGGGGACUGUACCUUCAGUUGGCCAGGCCAGUUUUCAAGAGCUGGCCAUGAGUCAGAUGUCUGUGUUCUGUUAAGCAUGUCAUUUCCAUUAUACUUCAUACACUGGGUUCUGGUCAUGGUGUUAAAGAGAAAAUAUACUGAGCUCACAAUUUGUCCAGAGUUAAAAGGUAGUGAGUAAGAAGAAAAGUCAAAAAGUGAAAUGAUCAAAGAAUAUGGAAUUUCCUUAUCAAUAUUCUGCAUGUUCCUUGAAAAUCAGGACAAGAUAAAAAGAAAAACAGCCAAAGAAAGUGAAAUUGGUAAACGGAGGAGAGGAGAAAAAUAUGCCUACUUUUAGUAAAUUAACUGCUUGAGUGGUUACAGAGCAAGUAACAUUUCUGAAUCUGGGUUCUUGUGUGUGUAUUUGUUUUUAGAUAAGGCUAAGGAAAUUUCACUCUAGGUAGGGGUUAAUGUCAAGUCUUCAUGGCUAGCGGCCCUGCUUUCAGCAUUACCACCAAAUCAAGUUACUAGUCCUAAAAGGUAAAGCUUCCACAGCAACUCUUGUAUUUGCUGAGGAGGAACUUAAGAAUGAGAUGCCUGUUCCAAUUAAAUAUGCCCCUGAGGGCCCAUCUAAUAAGCCUCUAUAAGCUGCAACCACAUCAGACAUUCACUCUUGCCCUGGAGAAAAAGAAACAUACAAAGAUAGGCUAUCGGUCUUCCUUUGCUACAGCCCUGAGAAUAGCAAGAAAUAGAACCACUUGCACAGAAAUGCCAAAAUUCCCUUUAUAUACACACCUCUGCUGUGUGUACAUAAAGCUAAACUCACCUAUGUCUGGUGGGUUGCUCUGUAAAUGGCUUCUGCAGUUAGAAAAAUAGCUUGCCAGCAUGUGAGCAUUUUAUUACUAACUGAUAAAUGUGCAGCAUACUCACUGGGGGUUUAAAUUAAAACAGGCCAGUGGCCUUUUUUCCCCUGCCAACAGCAUGGCUAUGUGAAGCCAUUAGGCUGAGACAUAAAUCACCAAAAACUGUAUGCCAGAACUGCUUGGUACAUUAUGUGAAGCAUAUGGCGUGUUGAUAUGUUGAGAAAUCUCAUCGCUGUUUGGGACACUGACACCCCAGAAGUAAUCCACAGUUGCUUUGGAACGAGUGACGGCUCAGGUGAACAGAGCAGGGUGUGUGCUGACUGGUGGGGAUGAGCUACAGAGAGAAACGAACUGUCCCAUACUCAGAUCUGAUGGUUUCGUAGAUACUGGUAACUGAUGAUGAAUUUCAAACAAGAACAGACAUCCCUGAUGUCACUUACACUGUGAGCGUAGAAGAGCAGGAAGAAAAGUUGCCCAAGUCCAAAUGUCCCAGGAGAAAAGCCAGCACCACUGGCGAUUGGUGAUAAUGUGAUAACGGGAAUGAUUUCAUUCCAAAGCAGCUGAGUUGCUAAAUCUGUUAACCACAAAAGAACACAUCAGGAUUUAAUCCUGUGUUAAGCAGAAAGUAAAACCAGGGUCUGACAGAUACGACUCGAGUUCAGUGUGGUGUAUAUGCCUUGUUUAGCUUCACAGACAUUUCAGAGACCCUCUGAGGACUGAGUUGUAAUCCAGGCUCUGUCUCUUGCUGCCUUGGUAAUCUUUGGCAAGACCAGUGGAUUCCUCAUCCGUACAAUUAGGAGACUGGAUCAGGGUAUUUCUAAACUCAGUACUAUAAUUUCAGGCUUCAUAGUUUGCAGGAGCUGGAAUGGUAAUUGAAACCUUUUUAAACUAAACACGGGCUGAAGAUGAAUUACAGAGAAAGACACUCCAUUCUUCAGUAACUCCAUGUCAAAGGAUUCUGCAUAUACUUUAGUGUACACAGUCAGAAACCUUUUUAUCGGAAAGCACCCAACAUUUUUGACAACUGUACAUAUUAAUUUAUUACCAGAAUAAAUUGUAUUGGCAUGCUAAAUAAAGCCAGAUUAUUUACAUCC